CCUACGGGAGGCAGCAGUGAGGAAUAUUGGUCAAUGGCCGGAAGGCUGAACCAGCCAAGCCGCGUGAAGGACGAAGGUGCCAAGCAUUGUAAACUUCUUUUGUCAAGGGACAAAAUCAGGCACGAGAGCCUGACCGAGGGUACUUGAAGAAAAAGCAUCGGCUAACUCCGUGCCAGCAGCCGCGGUAAUACGGAGGAUGCGAGCGUUAUCCGGAUUUAUUGGGUUUAAAGGGUGCGUAGGCGGACUGUUAAGUCAGCGGUAAAAGCCCGGGGCUCAACCCCGGCGAGCCGUUGAAACUGGCAGUCUUGAGAUGUCGAGAGGUAUGCGGAAUGCGCAGUGUAGCGGUGAAAUGCUUAGAUAUUGCGCAGAACUCCGAUUGCGAAGGCAGCAUACCGGCGGCGAUCUGACGCUGAGGCACGAAAGCGUGGGUAUCGAACAGGAUUAGAUACCCGUGUAGUC
This 459-nucleotide ribosomal RNA is filed under the name uncultured bacterium. Its description in RNAcentral is "partial 16S ribosomal RNA". It matches the Rfam family "Bacterial small subunit ribosomal RNA", at positions 338 to 795 of the family's 1533-position model. The record is from RNAcentral.